This 1848-nucleotide ribosomal RNA is filed under the name Salmonella enterica subsp. enterica serovar Typhimurium. RNAcentral describes it as "partial 23S ribosomal RNA". It matches the Rfam family "Bacterial large subunit ribosomal RNA", at positions 1 to 1773 of the family's 2925-position model. Lineage: Bacteria; Pseudomonadati; Pseudomonadota; Gammaproteobacteria; Enterobacterales; Enterobacteriaceae. The record is from RNAcentral.
GGGUUGUGAGGUUAAGCGACUAAGCGUACACGGUGGAUGCCCUGGCAGUCAGAGGCGAUGAAGGGCGUGCUAAUCUGCGAUAAGCGCCGGUAAGGUGAUAUGAACCGUUAUAACCGGCGAUACCCGAAUGGGGAAACCCAGUGUGACUCGUCACACUAUCAUUAACUGAAUCCAUAGGUUAAUGAGGCGAACCGGGGGAACUGAAACAUCUAAGUACCCCGAGGAAAAGAAAUCAACCGAGAUUCCCCCAGUAGCGGCGAGCGAACGGGGAGGAGCCCAGAGCCUGAAUCAGCAUGUGUGUUAGUGGAAGCGUCUGGAAAGGCGCGCGAUACAGGGUGACAGCCCCGUACACAAAAGCGCAUGUGCUGUGAGCUCGAUGAGUAGGGCGGGACACGUGGUAUCCUGUCUGAAUAUGGGGGGACCAUCCUCCAAGGCUAAAUACUCCUGACUGACCGAUAGUGAACCAGUACCGUGAGGGAAAGGCGAAAAGAACCCCGGCGAGGGGAGUGAAAAAGAACCUGAAACCGUGUACGUACAAGCAGUGGGAGCCCCACCACCAAAGCAUUCUCUGGUGUUGAAGGCCCUGCAAAGCAGCAUCGCGGUGGCGGAGCGUCGUUUGCGACGCCCAACACACAAAACAAGCGGUGAAUGCUUUGGGGUGGGGUGACUGCGUACCUUUUGUAUAAUGGGUCAGCGACUUAUAUUCUGUAGCAAGGUUAACCGAAUAGGGGAGCCGGAGGGAAACCGAGUCUUAAUUGGGCGUUAAGUUGCAGGGUAUAGACCCGAAACCCGGUGAUCUAGCCAUGGGCAGGUUGAAGGUUGGGUAACACUAACUGGAGGACCGAACCGACUAAUGUUGAAAAAUUAGCGGAUGACCUGUGGCUGGGGGUGAAAGGCCAAUCAAACCGAGAGAUAGCUGGUUCUCCCCGAAAGCUAUUUAGGUAGCGCCUCGUGAAUUCAUCUCCGGGGGUAGAGCACUGUUUCGGCUAGGGGGCCAUCCCGGCUUACCAACCCGAUGCAAACUGCGAAUACCGGAGAAUGUUAUCACGGGAGACACACGGCGGGUGCUAACGUCCGUCGUGAAGAGGGAAACAACCCAGACCGCCAGCUAAGGUCCCAAAGUCAUGGUUAAGUGGGAAACGAUGUGGGAAGGCCCAGACAGCCAGGAUGUUGGCUUAGAAGCAGCCAUCAUUUAAAGAAAGCGUAAUAGCUCACUGGUCGAGUCGGCCUGCGCGGAAGAUGUAACGGGGCUAAACCAUGCACCGAAGCUGCGGCAGCGACGCUGAUGCGUUGUUGGGUAGGGGAGCGUUCUGUAAGCCUGCGAAGGUGACCUGUGAGGGUUGCUGGAGGUAUCAGAAGUGCGAAUGCUGACAUAAGUAACGAUAAAGCGGGUGAAAAGCCCGCUCGCCGGAAGACCAAGGGUUCCUGUCCAACGUUAAUCGGGGCAGGGUGAGUCGACCCCUAAGGCGAGGCCGAAAGGCGUAGUCGAUGGGAAACGGGUUAAUAUUCCCGUACUUGGUGUUACUGCGAAGGGGGGACGGAGAAGGCUAUGUUGGCCGGGCGACGGUUGUCCCGGUUUAAGCGUGUAGGUGUGUGUUCCAGGUAAAUCCGGUUCACUUUAACACUGAGGCGUGAUGACGAGGCACUACGGUGCUGAAGCAACAAAUGCCCUGCUUCCAGGAAAAGCCUCUAAGCAUCAGGUAACAUCAAAUCGUACCCCAAACCGACACAGGUGGUCAGGUAGAGAAUACCAAGGCGCUUGAGAGAACUCGGGUGAAGGAACUAGGCAAAAUGGUGCCGUAACUUCGGGAGAAGGCACGCUGACACGUAGGUGAAGUGAUUUACUCA